This 301-nucleotide ribosomal RNA is filed under the name uncultured bacterium. RNAcentral describes it as "partial 16S ribosomal RNA". It matches the Rfam family "Bacterial small subunit ribosomal RNA", at positions 509 to 807 of the family's 1533-position model. The record is from RNAcentral.
CAGUAGCCGCGGUAAUACGGAGGGUGCAAGCGUUAAUCGGAAUUACUGGGCGUAAAGCGUGCGUAGGCGGUUCGUUAAGUCUGUUGUGAAUGCCCCGGGCUCAACCUGGGAAUGGCAAUGGAUACUGGCGAGCUAGAGUGUGUCAGAGGAUGGUGGAAUUCCCGGUGUAGCGGUGAAAUGCGUAGAGAUCGGGAGGAACAUCAGUGGCGAAGGCGGCCAUCUUGGACAACACUGACGCUGAGGCACGAAAGCGUGGGGAGCAAACAGGAUUAGAUACCCGCGUAGUCCCUGUCUCUUAUAC